RNAcentral lists this long non-coding RNA (8281 nucleotides) under Ananas comosus (pineapple). Its description in RNAcentral is "long non-coding RNA (ACOM_LNC025788)". Lineage: Eukaryota; Viridiplantae; Streptophyta; Magnoliopsida; Poales; Bromeliaceae. The record is from RNAcentral.
AACAAGUUUGCAUUCCAUACACAUAUUUUCUAUGUCAUGCCCCGUCCCGAAUCCACUACCAAUUUGGCAUGGUUCGGGCGCGCCGGACGGACCGCCGAACGAACAGCACCUCUCCUGUCCGCCCAAGGCCAAGCAACCAGAUCAUGUACAGUUAAGCGCCCAGGGAAUGCUUAAAUAACAUACAUGAUCGACUAAGGCACACAAGUGCCAAGAAACUAAGAGCAAGAACCACAAGUGAAUGUACAAGUGUAUAAAGAGAGAUAGUCUAACUAUUACAACCAUUCAACAUUUACAUCAUUUGAAUAUAUUACAUAUCCAUCUUUCAAAAUGUAAAUACAUAUUUUCCUCAAAAUACAAGUAGCUCUCCAAUAACUAUCCAAAACAUCAUCUAGUACACAAGGGUACUCUAAUGCAUAAAGGAAAAGCUACUAACUAGGCUCACUUAGGGCGCUAUGCCCUUGCCGCGGUCCUCGCUCGGCUCGCCUCUAUAUGUACCUGUACCCCCAAAACCACAUGGGGUGAGAACUAUAUAAAUAUAGUUCCCAGUGGGUUCGGCCGCCGACGCCGCCGGUUUUCCCACUAGGUCUAAGCUGGCACAGAUAGAGAGAUAGAUAGAUAUAUAAAAAUGAACUGCAAUUACUCUAUCAUGCCAUCAAUGAUAAUAAUGCAUGCAACAACUGCUAUCAUACUAGUAUUAUGUCAUGAGUAUAUAUAAAGUGCAUAGUAAUGUAAACUACAACAUACACUAUGUCUACUCAAGAUAAUAAUGCAAGUCUACUAUGCAUUCCAUGUUUAUUACCCAAUCUACUUGGUUAAUCCGUAGGUUAAACCCUCGACUCACUCUCAAUCUCAUAGGUGAGGAGAAGCUGCACUCGCACACCGAGACCGUCUGCGGGACAACUACGUCUGCCCCUAGUAAAGUACUCCGGAGACUCGUGCCAUGGUGGAGCGACCACCGACAGCGAAAACAGACUAGUGAGUAUGAUCCAAUCCUCACAAGAGGAUACCCUAUCUACAAGGGUCAACGUGCCUCUGCUGCACAAUAUACAAUGCAUCCUAGAUACCGGGAUCUCUACUAUCCCUAGAACCAUGUCAUGUUUACCACACUAGACUCGAUGCCACUCGUUCGAUCAUUGUAAUAAUGUUCUGUAACUAAUUGACAUACCACUCGUUCAAGUUUAGUGUUUCUACUACACUAGUUGAAUGCCACUCUACUAGGCUAUCAUAUGUCCAAGUUCGGCUCUUUAUGUCAUUAUAGGAUUUCCAUGUCACAAGACCCAGUCCUCAUGCUAGCCUAGUCCAUGUGUCCAACUCACAGUUACACUACUAAGAAGCAUGCAAGGAAAUAGAAUUUGCAACUAUCUACUAAUCCUAUAAUGCAAUAUGAUCAAGCAUAUAUAUAACUUAGACAUAAAAAGAAACCCGGAUGUUUCGGGAUGACACCCCCCACCUUUUCUUGAUGUAGAGGUUCUAGAAACGCUCUUCGGCGAACUUUACGACAAAGUCUUGGCCUUCUUGGUCCAAAACAAUGCUAAAUCGGCCGUAUUUGCCGAUAGCUCUAAAUCCACUCGACGAAGCGUAAAUCCGACUUCGCCCCCGCGUUUAGGCACCUACCAAUUAGGUUAGAGGAGGGUCAAAUGAGAUCAAUCCUCUACUUUACCAAAAAUCCUAUUUUGGUGCCCUAGGGUUAGCACCAAGCUAAACCCAUCUCAAAACUCUAGAUUCUAGCUCCAAUCCUACCAUUCAUAGUGCUAGGGAUCCAUUUGAUCCCAUCCAAAGAGCUAAAACCCAAAACCCUAAAUUCCACAACUAGGGUUAGAAGCCUACCUCUUGUUGUAGCUUCAAAGAGAGAAGAGAGGAAGAGGGAGAGGUCCAAAAGCUUUCCAAGCUUGAUAUCCUUCUUCUUCUCCUUCCUUUUCUUCCUUUUCUUCCUUCUCUUUUCUUCUUCUUCUUGUUCCUUCUCUUUUCUUUCUAGAGAGAGGAGGGAGAGAAUGAGAGAGAGAGAGAGGAAUGAGGGGCUGAGGGAGAGAGAGGGACCCAUAAGCCCUCUAUUGUAACAAUAUCCCAAUAAGUCCCUCAACUUUCAUCUCUGUGCACUGCCUGUUACUGGGCAUUUUUCGCCCAGAGGGACCGGUCUCCCCGACUUGGGACCGGUCCCUGAGAGCCUCAGCUCGGGUCACGCGUUCGGGUACCGGUCUCUCCCAGAGAGACCGGUCCUCGGGAGGCCGGUUCCUUCCUGAGAGACCGGUUCCCGAGAGCAGGAUUUUCGGGACUUAGCCAAAUUUUGGCUUUUCUCGCUCGGGUCACGUUCGGGGACCGGUCCCUCCCUGCCAGGGACCAGUUGCAUCAAGCAACCCCGCAACACCAGUCGAUGGGACCGGUCCCUCCCUGCCAGGGACCGGUCCCCGAGAGCAAUUUUGCUCCAGUGCAGAUUUUGCACUAUUUGCUCCCGUGGACUCGUUUUCAAUGCACUUUUGGUGAUUUUGACAUUUUUGGCUUUUCCAAAGCACACCAACACGACCCUUGGUCGAUUCUGAACGAAGUCUAACUCUCAUAUUUCGAGAAUUUACUUCCUUACAUCCUCCCCUCCUAAAAAGAAGUUUCAUCCUCGAAACGAAUUCAUUAACUUAAUCAACUCAUACCUCAUUGCAUUUCUGUAAAGAGAUGAAGAUAGUGCACUUUCAUCGUUUCCUCGAGUUCCCACGUGACCUCACGAUCGUCGUGACCGGCCCAACGAAUCUUCACAUAGGGAAUCUCACGAUUUCUCAAUUUCCGCACUUCUCGAGCAAUGAUCAUCGCAGGGAACUCUUCAUAGCUCAAAUCCUCCUGUAGAUCUAGCGGCUCAUAAUACAUAACAUGCUCGGGAUCGGAAAUAUACUUGCGAAGGUUGGAGACGUGGAACACAUUAUGCACUCCCACGAGCUUCGGCGGUAAUGCUAAUCUAUAUGCUACUGCUCCAAUACGUUCCAACACUUCGAACGGUCCGAUAUAUCGGGGACUUAGCUUUUCCCGCACUCCGAAGCGUUUCACACCUCUCAUUGACGAAACCUUCAGGAAAACGCGGUCACCUACCGCGAAUUCUAAAUCUUUACGGCGUUUGUCAGAAUAGCUCUUUUGCCUCGACUGUGCCGUGAGCAGCCUCUCGCGAGCAAGACGGACCUUCUCUUCCGCCUCUUGCAAUACAUCGGGGCCCAAUGCCGUAGGCUCACCUACAUCAUUCCAACAUAUAGGGGAUCGGCACUUCCGUCCAUAUAGGACCUCGAACGGUGCCAUCCCAAUGCUAGCUUGAUAAUUGUUAUUGUAGGCGAACUCGGCCAUCCUCAAAUGGUUUGCCCAACUACCUUUGUAGUCAAUGACACACGUCCGCAACAUAUCCUCCAGAAUCUGUAUAUUCCUCUCUGACUGUCCAUCUGUCUGAGGAUGAAACGCGGUGCUGAAAUCAAGCCGUGUGCCAAGUGCUUCCUGCAGGUUUUUCCAAAAGUGCAAAGUAAAACGGGGGUCUCGAUCUGACACGAUUGACUUCGGAACCCUGUGCAACCUCACAACUUCAUCCAAGUAUACCUGCGCCAAUUUGUCACCCGACCAGGUAGUGUGAAUCGGUAGAAAGUGUGCCGACUUGGUCAUACGAUCCACAAUCACCCAGAUCGCGUCGUGGCCACCCGUCGAACGGGGCAAUCCGACUACGAAGUCCAUAGCUAUGUUCUCCCAUUUCCAAACGGGAAUAGGUAAACUUUAGAGCUUUCCCGCUAGAAAUCGACGCUCAGCCUUCACUUGCUAGCAUACAAGGCACUGCGCUACAUAGCGCCCAAUAUCAGCUUUCAUGCCCGGCCACCAGUACUGCAUCUUUAGGUCACGGUACAUCUUGGUGCCGCCCGGGUAAAUGCUAUAAAGAGUCCGAUGUGCUUCUUGCAAUAUUAACUUCCGGACCUCCUCGUUCUCCGGUACGCACCAUCGGUUUCGAAACCGAAGCGCACCAUCACCAUCUACACUGAAAUCGCCGCCGCGUCCACUCUCGAUGUCCCGCCGCACCUUUUGGAGAUUGGUGUCUGCAGAUUGCAAAGUCUUAAUCUGCUCCAACAAGGUCGGUUGGACAACGAGAGCCGUAUGCAUAGACGAGAUUUCCGAAGCUACCACCUCGAGAUACAAUCGUUCCAUCUCUCUCCACAGUGGCUCCUGAUGUGUGACCAACAUAGCAAGAUUUUUCACUGACUUUCUGCUAAGCGCGUCGGCCACCACGUUUGCUUUUUCGGGGUGGUAUAGGAUCGUCACAUCGAAAUCCUUCAGCAGUUCCAACCACCACCGCUGUCACAUAUUGAGCUCCUUUUGCGUGAAUAGGUACUUUAGACUCUUGUGGUCCGUGUAUAUCUCGCAACGCGCGCCAUACAAGUAGUGCCUCCAUAACUUGAGGGCAAACACUACCACGGCCAACUCUAAGUCGUGGAUAGGGUAAUUCUUCUCAUAGCUCUUCAGCUGACGGGACGCAUAAGCGAUCACCUUCCCGCCUUGCAUCAGCACACACCCUAAGCCCAAAUGUGACGCAUCGCUAUACACCACAAAGUCUUCGUCUUGCACCGGUAAGGCGAGUACCGGAGUCGAAGUCAAUCUAUCCUUCAACUCUUGAAAACUCCGAUCGCACUCGUCACUCCAAAUGAACUUGGUGCCUUUCCGAGUCAGACGAGUAAGUGGACCCACGAUCUUUGAGAAUCCCUCCAUGAACCGUCUAUAAUAACCCGCUAAACCCACGAAGCUUCGAACUUUCGCGACGUUAGUCGGGCGAGGCCAAUCUUUGAUCGCCUCCACUUUCCUCGAGUCAACAGAUACUCCACCCUCGAAAAUAACAUGCCCAAGAAAUGCAACCUCUCGGAACCAAAAGUCGCAUUUCUUAAACUUAGCAUAUAGCUUCUCCUCUCGAAGGACUUGAAGCACUAUUCUCAAAUGCUUGGCAUGUUCCUCGUCGCUACAAGAAUAAACCAAGAUGUCGUCUAUGAAGACCACGACAAAUCGAUCCAAGUACUCCUUGAAGACACGGUUCAUUAAAUCCAUGAACGCUGUCGGGGCGUUAGAGAGCCCAAACGGCAUGACCUUGAAUUCAUAAUGUCCAUACCGCGUGCGAAACGCGGUCUUUUGCACAUCUUUCGGCUUAAUCUUAAGUUGGUGAUAACCGGAUUGUAGAUCAAUCUUUGAAUAAACCCGAGACCCUUGCAACUGAUCAAACAGAUCGUCAAUCCUCGGCAACGGUACUUGUUCUUGAUCGUGACUUUGUUCAACUCGCGGUAGUCUACGCAGAGUCGAAACGAUCCGUCCUUCUUUCGCACGAAUAGGACCGGGGCUCCCCACGGCGAUACACUUGGUCGUAUAAAUCCCUUAUCAAGGAGAUCUAUCAAUUGAGCCCGCAACUCCUUCAAUUCUGCCGGCGCUAUCCGAUACGGAGCCUUCGAGAUAGGCACGGUUCCUGGAACCAAGUCUAUCACGAACUCGAUCUUCCGGUCUGGCGGCAUUUCCGGUAACUCCGCGGAAAAUACAUCUGGAAAUUCCCGAACCACGGAUAACUCCUCAAGUGCCGAAGUCGUCCUCUCGAGUUCCACAACGGUCGCCAAGUAGGCCGUACAACCGCUGUUAACUAGCUUCCUUGCUCUCGUCGCCGAUACCAUGGCGGCGAAGUACGAGCUUCUACAAGCCCGAUAGACGAACUCUUCCUGGCCCGGUUCGCAAAACGUAAUCACUCUACUUCUGCAGUGAAUAGUCACAUAGUACAUCGAGAGCCAAUCCAUUCCUAGAAUGACGUCGAAGUCUUUCAACUUCUUGAACACCAACAUACGGAUGGGCAUUAUCCAAUUGCCCAAUCGCACCGGACAAGAUGAACACUCCAUACAGACUAGAAAAUCAUGUCCGGGGCCUGAUACCCUCCAAGUGCUUUUACUCUCUUGUAGUUCUAUGUCAUGCAUGCGUGCAAAUGACUUACUGAUGAAUGAAUGCGUAGCACCUGUAUCAAACAUGGCCCUGGAGUGAACUCUAUUAAUUAAAACCAUACCUGCGAGUACAUGGCGAUCCUCCGCCUCAGCAGGUUCCUCGGCUUGAGUUUGGGCGGCGAACACCCGCCCACUCGGAGCCGAUCUCGUCGCCUCAGGUUGGCAUGGUACCAUCGCACGUCCAGCCGAUGACGCAGCAGGUGGGACUCCUCCAUAAUGAGCCGGAGUCGCCGGAGCCGAUGCGACCGAAUGGGUGGGCGAAGCCCUCACUGGACAGUAGCGGCUGAUGUGGCCCGCCUGUCCACACGUGAAGCACUUCCCCUCCCGUUGAUCACACGUCCUCGGCUCGUGGUUCCCACCACAAAUUGUGCACCGCUGCGGUCCGUGGCCCUUGGAUUGCGUUCGCGGGUACUUCGGGGGCUUCCUUGACUUGGUUUGAGCUCCCGAGCUACUCUGAGCUCGCUUCUUACCACCGUCCUUCUCGGACGCCUCUCGCUCCUCCCGGAUGUGAGCGUUUCCUUGCUCCGCCUAUAACGCUCUGUCGAGCACCUCCGCGAAGGUAGUGAGCUUCAAAAUGUGCACCGCCCGGUAGAUAUCAGCCCGGAGCCCUCGCUCAAACCAAUCGGCUCGAUCCCUGUCAUCCCGCACUACGUCGGGGACGCAAUCAAUGAUGUGAGAGAACUCCCGCUCAUAUUCCGCUACCGUGCGGCUACCUUGCUUCAACUUCCGAAAUUGCUCUUGGAGCUUCUUCUUCUCGCUAUCGGGAAAGUAGUUGACGUAGAACAAUCCCCGAAACUCCUCCCACGUCAACGGCGGAAGGUCGGAAGCUCGGUUUCUCUUGAUUCGCUUCUACCAAACCUUCGCCGUUCGCUCCAAACAAUGAGUGGCGAGGUAGAUCUUGUCCCUCUCCAACGUAUAGAGGUCCUCGAACAAGGUCUCCAUUGAGUCCACCACGACUCAACCAUCGAUGGCUCCACCUUCUCUCCCUCGAAGGUCGGUGAAUUGAACUUUCGGAACUUCUCGAGAGCCGCAAGUGCGCGCUCCCUCUCCGCCUCCAAUGCCACCACAUCGGGUAUCGUAGAACUUGACGCCGCCGGACGCUCGCCGGCAAAGGACGUGCCGCCACCGGAACUGCCGCAAUGCCCUCGCCCUCAGCCGCCGUAGGCGCACGAGCUGGAGGCGGCGGCGGGUUACGGCCCUCAGUCGCAGCUGCAGUUGCCGCCGCAAAAUGCCUCUCCAUAAGCCCUUGGAGCUCCUCGAAUCGACUCUCCUGGCGCUGUACAAUGCCGGUCAUUGUCGACACCUGCGCCCGUAACUCCUGUACUUCACUAGAUCCGGCUUCCUCGGGCACCUCAAAAGAUGGUGCCGGAACGGACCUACGCACGUAGCGUCUUGGGGAUAUUGUUCCUGCAACACAACAACCAGGUUAGUCAUCUAACUCACUCAACUCCGUCGCAUACACUAUAUUACGCGACUCAACUCCGCCAUAAGCGGACGUACAACAUUGUAUUAGUCCUAACUCUUAGCGUCGUGUUGUCGGCCGCCAACACAAACUCCUCGAGCUCGAAACUAACACCGCUCGGAUCUAUCUCUAGCCAUACUAGAGAUUUAUACUCGAUCCGACCUAAUUGGAUUCUUCCUCCACCGAUAUAGGUUUACGUUUCUCUCACGUACUUAUCACCUUAGGGUUGCCAACCUAGGUCUCCUAGGUCCAUCCUAGACUCUCUCUUUACUUGCUCUUAAUUGCUCUGAUACCAACAACUCUUGUCACCCCCCGCCCCGAAUCCACUACCAAUUUGGCACGGUUCGGGCGCGCCGGAUGGACCGCCGAACGGACAGGACAUCUCCUGUCCGCCCAAGGCCAAGCAACCAGAUCAUAUACAGUUAAGCGCCCAGGGAAUGCUUAAAUAACAUACAUGAUCGACUAAGGCACACAAGUGCCAAGAAACUAAGAGCAAGAACCCACAAGUGAAUGUACAAGUGUAUAAAGAGAGAUAGUCUACCUAUUACAACCAUUCAACAUUUACAUCAUUUGAAUAUAUUACAUUUCCAUCUUCCAAAAUGUGAAUACAUGUUUUCCUCAAAAUACAAGUAGCCCUCCAAUAACUAUCCAAAACAUCAUCUAGUACACGAGGGUACUCUAAUGCAUAAAGGAAAAGCUACUAACUAGGCUCACUUAGGGCGCUAUGCCCUUGCCGCGAUCCUCGCUCGGCUCGCCUCUAUGUGUACCUGUACCCCAAAACCACAUGGGGUGAGAACUAUAUAAAUAUAGUUCCCAGUGGGUUCGGCCGCUGACGCCGCCGGUUUUCCCA